RNAcentral lists this ribosomal RNA (422 nucleotides) under uncultured bacterium. RNAcentral describes it as "bacterial SSU rRNA". It matches the Rfam family "Bacterial small subunit ribosomal RNA", at positions 355 to 774 of the family's 1533-position model. The record is from RNAcentral.
UGAGGAAUAUUGGGCAAUGCCCGAAAGGGUGACCCAGCAACGCCGCGUGGAGGAUGAAGGUCGUAAGAUUGUAAACUCCUGUUAGAGGGGAAGAAUAACUAAGUUUGGAGCUUAGUAUGACUGUACCCUCAGAGAAAGCCCCGGCUAACUACGUGCCAGCAGCCGCGGUAAUACAUAGGGGGCAAGCGUUGUCCGGAUUUACUGGGUGUAAAGGGCGCGCAGGCGGAAUGGAAAGUCAGUGGUGAAAUCCUACAGCUUAACUGUAGAACUGCCUUUGAUACUUUCAUUCUUGAGUUCGGGAGAGAGAGACGGAAUUCCAGGUGUAGUGGUGAAAUACGUAGAUAUCUGGAAGAACACCAGUUGCGAAGGCGGUCUCUUGGUCCGAUACUGACGCUGAGGCGCGAAAGCGUGGGGAGCAAACA